AUGCUUAAAAACAUUUGAUGAUAAAUAAAGUCACAAUUAUAAUUACAUAUAUUUUUUGAAUAAGACGAAUGGUUAAACGUAUAUCAAAAAAGUCAAUGGCGUCAUGUAUUAAAAAACACAAAUCGAGCACGCUAUUGAAAAUAGAUCAACUCUAUUGGUUCUAAUUGUUCUUACAAAGUGCAACGCAACACUCUUCUCUCAACUUUCGAACUCAAUCGAAAUCUACGCUAAAAUCCUAAUUUUCUCUCAAAAUUAUCCUCUCCAAAAAUUGAUACUCAAAGCCUAAACCCAUCAUCUAUUUAUACUAUGAUGUGGCAACAUAGAUCCAAUAUGGAUAUGUACUCCUAAUCCCUUAGAAACUCACUUGCAAAAGACUCCAACUUAUUCUAUUACAAUUUAAACUCCAAUCUUGCUUACAUGUGGGCCCCACGAUUUUUUUUUAAUUUUUUUUUGCUGACUAGGAUGCCACGUCAGUGAAACCACCCACAUAUACUGCCAAGGGACCUUCGGUGAACGGUUUGAAUAAGUUUAGGGGCAAACGUUUCUGGCUUUGUGGUUGAGGGAUCUCAAAAAAUCUCGCUGUUUUGUUGAGGGAAUUUGUUCCGUUGAAACAACCAAGCCUGGCAAAGCCUUUCAAGGCCUCCAGUUCACCAUCUGAAGACCAGGUCGUGUUAGCGUGGGGAAGCUAUUUCAGAGGGGAGUACCUAUACAUCUUUCGAAAGAUUUUUAUAAUCGUAUCAUACAGAUUUUUAAUCUUUGUAUUAAAAUCCGAUAGAUAUAAUAAAAAGCAAAAAGCAAUUAAGAAACACCAUAAUAAACAUUAAAUUACCAUAUCCUCAAGAAAAAGACCAAAUCAAAUACAAAAUUUAAAAUUUACAUGUGAAGAUUCAAAAAUUACAGUGUAACUUACAAAAGUUACAGUGUAAGUUUCAUAAAUUACACUGUAACUUACAAGAAAAUGCACUGUAAAUUUGAGUGAGAAAAUCGAGUGAGAGAUAAGAAAAAAACUUUCGAGUGAGAUAUAGCAAAAUCGAUUUCAGAGAUCUAAAGGCAACCACAACAAUAUGCACUAAGCUUGCUAGCUUUUGAUGGCUAGCUCUCUGAGCUCAACUUCCUCUUUGGUUCGCUGGAAAAUACCACUUUAGGAUUGAACAUUUUCUCAUAUAUAGUUGCCAAAAACUUUAUCAUUGCAAUAAUAGCAAAUUGACCAACAUAAUAUACUAGUGCUUAAUCAAAAUCAACUUUGCGAUGAAUCUCGGAAAUCCCAUAAACCUAAAAUAUUUCUAGCAUUGCAGGAAGGUAGAUAUUUUACUCUCUCUCUCUCUCUCUCUCUGUUUUUUUUUCCUCUUCUAAUAUUUCUUAUUUUUUAAUUCCGAAUUUCAUUUAUUUCCUAAUUGUAUUUCUAUAUGGACUCUAGUCUCCUCUUCUAAUAUUCCUUAUUUUUUAAUUCCGAAUUUUAACUAUUUCUAAAUUGUAUUUCUAUAUGGACUCUAGUCUCCUCUUCUAAUAUUCCUUAUUUUUUAAUUCCGAAUUUCAGCUAUUUUAUAAUUGUAUUUCUAUAUGGACUUUGCUUUUUCUUUUUCUCCGAUUAAUGUAAGAAUUUCUAGACCAUGAGAGCGAACAUGGAGGCUACCUUUUCUAUUCCUUUAAUAAUAUAAUAGAUUAUACCUGCAGUGUUUGCUAGUACAUCACUAUCAAGGAAUUAAAGAUACACGGAGAUAAAAGUAUAUAUAUAAUUCAUAAAUACACACCAUUUGGACUUUUAUAUUGCUUUUCGAAGCACAUCAACACAUAUUACAGCACACGCUGCUAGAUAAGUCUUGUACAUUAUAUUUAUUCAACCCCGAUGGCCUAAACGCACGUGCAGAUAUAUACCUAGUACUAAUUUACUGACUAAUUAUAUGCUAUGCGUACAUGCACGUGUACACGACAAAAUCUGGAGUUUUAUGCAUGUGGCUGACUAUAGGUAUCAGUAGGCAGCAACAGCAGCAGCAGCAUCGGCAGAGGCGAGUCUGGGCUUGUUCUUCAACGGGCAGAUUGCCCAGGUGGUAAUGCCACAGAUACCAUUCUUGUUGAGGAUAUCCCGCUCCAUGCGGAUAUAACCGUACUCCCCCCAUGUUUUACCCCAAGAGUUCUUGAUGAUCCAGUAUUUUAUGUUGUCCGUCGUCACUCCAUACCCCACCACCAGUACCACAUGGUUAUCCACAUUCGGAUUACUUCCGCAGGGUCCGCGGAAAACACCCUGCAUCCAUGCAGAUUAAUUAAUUAAUCAAUACUAAUUCAUCAUUAAAUCGAUAUAAGUAGAGAAGUAAUGCUUCCUGCGACACUGAAGUGAAGGGAUUAAUUAGUAAUUGCUAGCUCGAAUCACGCUAAGAGCAAGUUUAAUAGGAUAGCCAACUACUAUCUCCAAUUCAUCUAUAGCCAAUCUUAUAGCUCAUUCAUACAAUAGUUACAUACUACACUAUUAAUACCUGGUCCCAUCUGUCAUAUACAUACUGCGUCUUGGAGUCUGUGCUACAGCUGGCUACAAAUCUGUAGCCCGCUGCUUUUCUCUCUCCUUAUUUAUCUCACUAAAAUAUGUUUGCAGCUGGCUUAUAGCCUGCUAAUGUACCUGCUCUAAUUAAGCUACAGUCAAGUUAAUUACCCCGCGGUAGGAGCGGAACUCAUCGCUGAUUGUGAUGACGACGGACACGGGCUGACUUAACACUGCCAGCUUCAGAGCUGUCUCGUUGCCGGACGGCACCAAGCACUCGCCGUCGAUCUUCACAAAUGGAGGCUUCCUCUGUAUGUGUACGAAAUAUAUGUACAGCGGUAUAAUUGUUAGUAAACAGUGGAGAAAUUCAAUUUUAGCUACUACUAUUUGAUCGAUAUCUAUUAUCAUAUAUGCUAAUAAAUGUAUUUAUACAGUACUAUCUAUAUUUUUUUUUGGAAAAUUUCUAUGCCUCAAAAAAUAAACGUGGUGUUUCCAUUAGACUUAUAUCCUUACAAAUAUACUUCCUCCUUUUUACAUUAUAUAAGAUGUUUUAGGUUUUAAAUUGAUCGACACAUAUAUACUUGUAUCCAAAUUCAUAUGGAUGUUAGCGAAUAUAGAUGAGAGAUGAAGAUACUAAGACUUAUAAAAGAAACGGAUGGAGCCAUCGUUUCGCUUAAGCGAAAUAAUAUAUUUGCAAACGAAAAGUAAUCUGUAAAUAAAAAUUUUAUAUACGUGUUCUUAUCGAUCUAAAAGCAAAGGCUAAAAAAUAAACUUCAAUUAGAAAACCUCAAAAUCAGUUCUAAAUUUAAGGUUAAAAAUUUAAAUUUUAGCUGAUAAGCAUAAGCAUAAGCGAAAAGAUGAGGCCCGAGUGAGUAUGGAGCAUGUUCACAGGUAGGUAUGGGCUCUUAAUUAGUCCUUUAGACGACAAAAAUCCUCUAACCAUCAAUAUACUUUUUAUUAUCUUUCAAUCAGUUUUUCUCCAUCCUCAUGCAACAAAGUAUUUUUUUAUAUAAAUAUUAAGAAACGAUGUUAAGUUGUUGUCAUGCGUAGCAACAUUCUUCCUCCCUUUCUCAGUUUCUAUCUUUCAUAUCAGCAAACUUUUCUUGUUAAUUAAUAACUCUAAUAGUCCGUUAUUAAUUGUCAUUGUAAUAUAUAUAUGGAUGGACUCCUAAUAACUAAUCAGAUGCAUGCUGUCAGCUGGUAUUAUAUGCAUGGAGUGAGACACUUACAGGGUCGAAUCUGCAUUUCUGCUUCUGGUUCUCGUAAGGAGGAUAAUACGGAGGAUUUCCCCGAUUGUCCAAAGAUAUGCCUGUCUUGAUGACGUAGUCGAAUGCAUCGUAUGGGUACCCGCCGUUGCAGUCGCCGGCGCCGGAGCAGUCGAGAAUCUGCUGUUCUGACAGCGUCAGCAGGUUCCCUGUCCUGAUCAUGUUGAUGCUCUCCACCGCCGCCGCCACGGAGAACGCCCAGCAGCUCCCUUCAUACAUACUCAUUUUUAUUGUAUUAACUAAUUUCCCAUGUACAUGUGUUAACUUAGCUAAUUAAUCACGUAUUACACUCCCUCCAUAAGAAAAUAAAUCUAAAACUAGAUGCGACAUAGUCUAAUUUAAACAUAGAUAUGUGCAGAUUUAUAGAAUUAGGAUAUGUCGUAUUCAGUAUUAGAGGUUAGUUUUUUAUAGGAACGACGAUGGAGUACGUAUAUAUACGCACGUACCGCAAGUCAAUUGGUUCUUGACAGGAGUAACAACUCCAUACUUUGUCCAGUUCCAGGAAGGGGGCACGUAGCCCACCGCCGGCGGCUUGCAGUAAGUCACGGCGCCAUCUCUGAGAUCGCCGGCGA
Molecule: small RNA, 4310 nt
Filed under: Oryza sativa Japonica Group (Japanese rice)
Lineage: Eukaryota; Viridiplantae; Streptophyta; Magnoliopsida; Poales; Poaceae
Description: sRNA Os09g0564450
Source: RNAcentral